ACGAGACGGGAUGGAAUGACCCUUCGGGGGAAUGAAAUCCUAGAAAGUGGCGAACGGGUGAGUAACGCGUGGGUAACCUGCCCUAUGGAAAGGAAUAGCCUCGGGAAACUGGGAGUAAUGCCUUAUAAUAUACGAGAGUCGCAUGGCUUUUGUAUUAAACGCUCCGGUGCCAUAGGAUGGACCCGCGUCCCAUUAGCUAGUUGGUGAGAUAACAGCCCACCAAGGCAACGAUGGGUAACCGGUCUGAGAGGGCGAACGGUCACACUGGAACUGAGACACGGUCCAGACUCCUACGGGAGGCAGCAGUGGGGAAUAUUGCGCAAUGGGGGCAACCCUGACGCAGCAAUACCGCGUGAGUGAAGAAGGUUUUCGGAUCGUAAAGCUCUGUUAUUGGGGAAGAAAAAAGACGGUACCCAAGAAGAAAGUCCCGGCUAACUACGUGCCAGCAGCCGCGGUAAUACGUAGGGGACAAGCGUUGUCCGGAUUUACUGGGCGUAAAGGGCACGCAGGCGGUUUUUUAAGUCAGAUGUGAAAGGUACCGGCUCAACCGGUGACAUGCAUUUGAAACUGAAAGACUUGAGUAUUGGAGAGGCAAGUGGAAUUCCUAGUGUAGCGGUGAAAUGCGUAGAUAUUAGGAGGAACACCGGUGGCGAAGGCGGCUUGCUGGACAAAUACUGACGCUGAGGUGCGAAAGCGUGGGGAGCAAACAGGAUUAGAUACCCUG
RNAcentral lists this ribosomal RNA (724 nucleotides) under uncultured Acetobacterium sp. RNAcentral's name for it is "bacterial SSU rRNA". It matches the Rfam family "Bacterial small subunit ribosomal RNA", at positions 66 to 789 of the family's 1533-position model. The record is from RNAcentral. Lineage: Bacteria; Bacillati; Bacillota; Clostridia; Eubacteriales; Eubacteriaceae.